UGAGGAAUAUUGCGCAAUGGGCGAAAGCCUGACGCAGCGACGCCGCGUGGGGGAUGAAGGUCUUCGGAUUGUAAACCCCUUUCGGGUGGGAAGACGGCCCUAGACAACUAGGGCGGACGGUACCACCAGAAGCAGCCACGGCUAACUUCGUGCCAGCAGCCGCGGUAAUACGAAGGUGGCAAGCGUUGUUCGGAUUUACUGGGCGUAAAGGGAGCGUAGGUGGUUAGGUAAGCCCUCCGGGAAAUCUUCAGGCUUAACCUGAAAAGGUCGGGGGGGACUGCCUGGCUAGAGGACGGGAGAGGAGCGCGGAAUUCCCGGUGUAGCGGUGAAAUGCGUAGAGAUCGGGAGGAAGGCCGGUGGCGAAGGCGGCGCUCUGGAACGUUUCUGACACUGAGGCUCGAAAGCGUGGGGAGCAAACAGG
Molecule: ribosomal RNA, 421 nt
Filed under: uncultured bacterium
Lineage: Bacteria
Description: bacterial SSU rRNA
Rfam family: Bacterial small subunit ribosomal RNA
Source: RNAcentral